Gadus macrocephalus (Pacific cod) is the source of this 1193-nucleotide long non-coding RNA. RefSeq lists it as uncharacterized. Lineage: Eukaryota; Metazoa; Chordata; Actinopteri; Gadiformes; Gadidae. The record is from RefSeq and is a predicted model, not a curated record. The transcript has 3 exons.
UACGAAGCGGAUAUGAAAUAAAGCUGUUGAUUCUGAAAAAAGUAUAAAUGGUAUUGAAAAUCUGGUAUAUUACAUAUAUGUGUUGAAUUGUUAAACGUUAUAACCAAAAUUGAGAAGUCUGAAGUAUUUAAAGGGUCAGAGAAUGGGCGGCCGAUUGACCUCCAUCAUAAAAAUAACAUUUUAAAGUUGUACUAUUUCAAAAGUUCCAAAUACUUAAAAAAUGUGAAUGGUAGCCUGCGAUUCAAAGCUAAUAUGAACAUUUGGAAUGGAGUCUCUAGCUGAAAGAUUGUGGCAGGACUGGAGUAGGUCCCAACAUUUAGUAGACGAAAGAAAUAAAGAAAUAAUAAAAGCAGAAUUGAGCGCUGCUAACAUAAAGCAGCGCUCAACUUAAAUAAAGGUAGGACACACAAAUUCAAAAGUAAAAUCUUUAAACAAAAAUAUUUAUUCUACAUAUGAAAAUGUCUUCAUGGGGUGAAGAAAUAUAAAACCAAUGUAAUGGAAAUAUAUAGUAUUUUAUGUCUUAAGUGUGUACCCACAAUGCAUUGUAAUAAUAUAGACAAAACAACCAGUGCUCAUAUUGUAGGACACAGCAGUUCUCCUGGAGCUGCCCUGUCCAUAAGGUAGGCUGGGGUAGGGUAGGAUAGGCUUAGGUAGGCUAGGGUAGGGUAGGGCAAGGUUAGGUAAGCUAGGCUAGGGUAGGCUUGGGUUAGGUAGGCUUGGGUUAGGUAGGCUAGGGUAGAGUAAGGUUAUGUAGGCUUGGGUAGGGUAGGCUAGGGUAAGGUUAGGUAAGCUAGGCUAGGCUAGGGUAAGGUUAGGUAGGCUUGGGUAAGGUAGGCUAGGGUAGGGUAAGGUUAAUCUAGGGUUGGGUAGGUUAGGCUAGGGUCAGUUACGGUAGGGAAGAGCAGAAUAGGCUAUGGUAGGCUAGGGAAGGAUAGGUUGAGGGAGGGUCAGUUAGGGUGAGGUAGGGUCAGUUAGGGUGAGGUAGGGUGAGGGAGCUGGAGGGAGGGUCAGUUAGGGUGAGGGAGGGGGAGGGAGGGUCAGUUAGGGUGAGGUAGGGUGAGGGAGGCUGGCCCAUAAAGCCCAGCCUCCUACUUCUGGUCCAGCUUUGCUCCUCAGUAUUCUGCGUACUGCGACUGAAGCGACUGUAAAGAAGUUGUUAACCAAUUAAAUAUUAUUCCACUGAAUUAUCUCAC